UGCUGUAGGAGAAGGUGUUGGCAGAAUGGAGGGAAGGCCUCCAGGUGUAAGCUGGAGAUACAUCCUGAAGGACGGGUGAAAGCUGAGUGGUUGAUAAGCUUAUUGAGGAAGUCCUCCAGUAAAUAAAGGAAAGAAACCAAGAAACAGGACAACUUGAAUCACAGAAGCAAACGCAGAGCAGGAAGGCGAGGCUACAGAUGUGAGAUCACCCAUUCAUAUUAAGUUUUUUCAAGAACUAUUGAAGGUAACUCCGUACUACUGAAGGUUACUCCGACAACAUGCCCAGCAGGUCAAACAUAGCAGGCCACGCGGGCCUUGGAAGUACAUAGAAAGCUCCACUUCAGGAAGCUAAAUACAUAAAAUGGUCAUCUGUUGAUGGCGUGACCGCACUGGGGGUUCACCAGCAUCCUGGGGACGGUGAUGGAGGGAAAGCAGAUGCUGAGAAGAGACAAGUUGCCAAGGAAGCGGAACAUGAGGCUGUGGAGGAAGAAGCUGUACUCUCGGUGCUUUUGUGACAUUUCCACCCACCUGACUGGAAAGGGAGCAGGAGUUACCUUUACAUUGAGGGGCUGCAGGAGACCAGCCUGAAGAACUGCAAGAGAGUCGAGCUUCACCAACCAGAGUGUAUCCUUUGUCACAUUUAUAUAUCACCUCCGUACGAGCGAAUACACUGAAUGCUUGAGUUC
Molecule: long non-coding RNA, 686 nt
Organism: Felis catus (domestic cat)
Lineage: Eukaryota; Metazoa; Chordata; Mammalia; Carnivora; Felidae
Exons: 5
Source: RefSeq, a predicted model, not a curated record